UAGCCAGACUCCUACGGGAGGCAGCAGUGGGGGAUAUUGCACAAUGGGGGGAACCCUGAUGCAGCGACGCCGCGUGGGUGAAGAAGUCUUUCGGUAUGUAAAGCCCUAUCGGCAGGGAAGAAAUUGGACGGUACCUGACUAAGAAGCCCUGGCUAACUACGUGCCAGCAGCCGCGGUAAUACGUAGGGGGCAAGCGUUAUCCGGAUUCACUGGGUGUAAAGGGAGCGUAGACGGCCAUGCAAGCCAGGGGUGAAAGCCCGGGGCCCAACCCCGGGACUGCUCUGGAAACUGCGUCGCUGGAGUACGGGAGGGGCAGGCGGAAUUCCUGGUGUAGCGGUGAAAUGCGUAGAUAUCAGGAGGAACACCGGCGGCGAAGGCGGCCUGCUGGACCGUGACUGACGUUGAGGCUCGAGAGCGUGGGGAGCAAACAGGAUUAGAUACCCCCGUA
This 448-nucleotide ribosomal RNA is filed under the name uncultured bacterium. RNAcentral describes it as "bacterial SSU rRNA". It matches the Rfam family "Bacterial small subunit ribosomal RNA", at positions 328 to 792 of the family's 1533-position model. The record is from RNAcentral.